GUGAAGAGCAUGAGAAGACCAUUGGGUGUCCUUCACUCAAGCAGUCACCCUCCACCCACCUUCUUGGUGGUUUCUGACUGGCUUGCCCCUUUCAGUUCAAACUGCACCCAGGAAACUGAAGCCAGUGAUCAAAGCUGCUGCUGCUGCUGCUGCUGCAUCGCUUCAGUCGUGUCCGACUCUGUGCGACCCCAGAGACGGCAGCCCACCAGGCUUCCCCGUCCCUGGGAUUCUCCAGCAAGAGCCUGUGUAUCAAAGUUUCAGAAGAAACCUAAGAAUUUCAGUCAAUUGGGAUGAAUGGAUACCAGUGGAUUGUCCAUGAUCUGAGAUCCGCUAGGAGUGGAAUUGCAGGAUUGUAUCCAAUUUAAAAAGUGGGCAGAGGACCUGAAGAGUAUUUUUCCAAAGAAGACGUGCAGAGAACCAUGCAUGUGCAGCCACAUGAAAAGACGCUCAACCUCAUGAAUCAUCAGGGGAAGCAAAUCAAAACCAUAAUGUGACAUCAUCUCAUACCUGUCAGGAUAGUUAUUGUGGAAAAAAAAGAAACAAGAAAUAACAAGAAUGGCAAGGAUGUGGGAAAAAAGGGAACCUUAGAACAGUGUUGGUGGGAAUGUAAAUUAGUAUAGACACUAUGGAAAACAGUAUGAAGGUUCCCCCAAAAUUAAACAUAGAUCUAUCUAAGUCUUAGGUUAAAGAGGACCCAAACUGGUAGUUAUUAUAAGACCUAAAGGAGAUAAUACACAGAAAUUAAGGUCUAGUGCCUAGCAUGUAGUAAGUUUUCAAUAAAUGUCAGUUGUUGCUUUCACAAAGAAUGUUUUACGGUUGGUAAUAGUUAUUUGUGUCUCAGAAUUUGACCAAUAUAGACCAAUGAAUACAGCCAUUGAGUAUGGGCAUUUAACACAUCCAAUUAAUG
Long non-coding RNA from Bos taurus (domestic cattle), 907 nucleotides. The record is from Ensembl. Lineage: Eukaryota; Metazoa; Chordata; Mammalia; Artiodactyla; Bovidae.